This is a long non-coding RNA of Neopelma chrysocephalum (saffron-crested tyrant-manakin), 271 nucleotides long. RefSeq lists it as uncharacterized. Lineage: Eukaryota; Metazoa; Chordata; Aves; Passeriformes; Pipridae. The transcript has 4 exons. The record is from RefSeq and is a predicted model, not a curated record.
GACUUCUAACGUGCAGUCCAACGUGACGGGGACCCUGCCUGAGACAUAUGCAGCCUCACAGGGCCAAAGCCAACUCACAAUGAGGUGACGGACACGGUGCCAUCCGGCUAACCUUUGGGAGCAGAUGAGCAUUUGAGGUAUCCCGGAAGAUGACAGCACAUUGUCCAACUCCGGUCAGAGCCGGUGACCCGAGGACCUGCCUCAGUGACAGUGAGUAGAGGGAUCUUUGGGGCUGGGGCCACGUGCCACACUACUCAGAUAUUGUGUAUGG